UUACAUUGACAACCCACACCACAAUGAUUAAAAUCAAUUAAAACUCAGAGUGAACUUCACUACUACUGAUCUGCAGGAGGGGGAGAAACAAGAUGAUGAUGAUGACGACUAUGGAGCAAUGAAGAGGGCUUAUAAACAUUACACACAAACUUGUAAAAUAAAAGGAAUUACCAUACGGUUUCAACACUCCAUGUGGCUGUUCAAGCUUUCUCUCCUCAAAUGGGUUAUAGGUUGCUAAGGAAGGAUUUGAUGGGAAUGAAGCUGAAAAUUGGGUUGUAUAAGUCCUUGACAUGCCCAAGGAAAGUGCACAUAAAGUGUUUGUAAAAAUGCACAAGAGAGAACAAGAGGUGAGCAUGAGCAGUAGGGAAGUCAACAUGAGUUUUCACAGGUUUAUCUCCAUGGAAUUGUUAAAGUUUUCUCUUUGAGAUUCCUUUGCUUACUCUGUUUGGAGGUUUAUCAACCCGUAAUUGUGUGUGUGUGAGAGAGAGAGAGUGUGUGUGUGUGUGAACUUUUACCUAAGGUCUUGAGACAAUAAUUGUUAAUAGUUAGCUCUUUAAACGUAUUCAAAAUCAAUCAGAUGCACAUGUACUGCGUACAAAAAUUGCAACAACAAUAGCAGAGGGUACUAGAAGCAAUACAAAAACAGCAUAUCACAACAAGUAGAAAAAUAGUUUAUUCCUUUCUCACUAAAGGUAAUAGCAAUGAAGUAGAACCAUUAUCAGUGGUGCCCAACUCAUUUCACCAAAUGUUUUGGUACGACUAGGGUAAGAAGUUGUUCUUUUGGAAAAUAGAAGUUUCCCUUGUGUUCAUUGUUAAUUCAAUAUGUGAUUUUGACU
Molecule: non-coding RNA, 836 nt
Organism: Lactuca sativa (garden lettuce)
Lineage: Eukaryota; Viridiplantae; Streptophyta; Magnoliopsida; Asterales; Asteraceae
Source: RefSeq, a predicted model, not a curated record